This 852-nucleotide ribosomal RNA is filed under the name Staphylococcus aureus. RNAcentral describes it as "bacterial SSU rRNA". It matches the Rfam family "Bacterial small subunit ribosomal RNA", at positions 1 to 835 of the family's 1533-position model. Lineage: Bacteria; Bacillati; Bacillota; Bacilli; Caryophanales; Staphylococcaceae. The record is from RNAcentral.
UUUAUGGAGAGUUUGAUCCUGGCUCAGGAUGAACGCUGGCGGCGUGCCUAAUACAUGCAAGUCGAGCGAACGGACGAGAAGCUUGCUUCUCUGAUGUUAGCGGCGGACGGGUGAGUAACACGUGGAUAACCUACCUAUAAGACUGGGAUAACUUCGGGAAACCGUAGCUAAUACCGGAUAAUAUUUUGAACCGCAUGGUUCAAAAGUGAAAGACGGUCUUGCUGUCACUUAUAGAUGGAUCCGCGCUGCAUUAGCUAGUUGGUAAGGUAACGGCUUACCAAGGCAACGAUGCAUAGCCGACCUGAGAGGGUGAUCGGCCACACUGGAACUGAGACACGGUCCAGACUCCUACGGGAGGCAGCAGUAGGGAAUCUUCCGCAAUGGGCGAAAGCCUGACGGAGCAACGCCGCGUGAGUGAUGAAGGUCUUCGGAUCGUAAAACUCUGUUAUUAGGGAAGAACAUAUGUGUAAGUAACUGUGCACAUCUUGACGGUACCUAAUCAGAAAGCCACGGCUAACUACGUGCCAGCAGCCGCGGUAAUACGUAGGUGGCAAGCGUUAUCCGGAAUUAUUGGGCGUAAAGCGCGCGUAGGCGGUUUUUUAAGUCUGAUGUGAAAGCCCACGGCUCAACCGUGGAGGGUCAUUGGAAACUGGAAAACUUGAGUGCAGAAGAGGAAAGUGGAAUUCCAUGUGUAGCGGUGAAAUGCGCAGAGAUAUGGAGGAACACCAGUGGCGAAGGCGACUUUCUGGUCUGUAACUGACGCUGAUGUGCGAAAGCGUGGGGAUCAAACAGGAUUAGAUACCCUGGUAGUCCACGCCGUAAACGAUGAGUGCUAAGUGUUAGGGGGUUUCC